CAUGUAUAUUUGCCGCGUUUUGUCGGCUAUAUAAACAAAGGUACGUGGCCUCAUGAGAGAUGAGAACGCUUCGCUAUUUCUACAUAGUAUCAGAUCCUUCUCUCAGAUACAUCUAAAAACAAGCCAAGCCGAUGUCAUCAUCCUCUUCUACUCCGGUUGGCGCAUCGUCCUUCGUCAUUCCGGUGACAGAGAAGCUAGGAAAGAGGAACUAUCUCCUACGGAAGGCGCAAGUUCUUCCCGUCAUUAGAGGAGUCUAGAUGUAUGGGUAUCUCGAUGGUACUGCUGAAGUCCCUAUAAAAAGGAUCAAAGUACAAAAAGAAGACAAGGUAAUCGAGAAGAUGAAUUCAAAUUUUAUCCGGUGGAUAGCCGAGGAUCAAUAAGUCCUCGGUUACCUGAUGACCACUUUGACGUUGUUGUUCCGGGUCAGUACGGGGUAGUACAGUAGCAUGCUUGUCUCCCUCGGCGCCUACUAUGACACUAUUUGCCCAUUGCCCGACACUACACGUCGUAGCGGCGGGGUGUAAUUUGUAGCAAUAGCGUUCUGAUACCACUUGUUGUAAUUCGUAGCUAUUCCUCUCUCAGAAAUUUUGCCUAUCUGAAGCCCACUCUGCUUUCUUUUGGUUUCUGACGAUUGUAUGCUGAUG
This 644-nucleotide long non-coding RNA is filed under the name Oryza brachyantha (malo sina). RNAcentral's name for it is "long non-coding RNA (OBRA_LNC000373)". The record is from RNAcentral. Lineage: Eukaryota; Viridiplantae; Streptophyta; Magnoliopsida; Poales; Poaceae.